GACGAACGCUGGCGGCGUGCUUAACGCAUGCAAGUCGAACGGAAAGGCCCUGCUUUUGUGGGGUGCUCGAGUGGCGAACGGGUGAGUAAAACGUGUGUAACAUGCACUUGACUUAGGGAUAUCUCUAGGGAACUGGGGCUAUUAUCGGGUAGAAGCUCUUGCUGCAUGGUGGGGGUUGGAAAGUUUCGGCGGUUGGGGAUGGACUCGCGGCUUAUGAGCUGGUUAGUGGGGUAGGGAUUUACAAAGGCUAUGACGGGUAGCCGGCCUUAGAGGGUGGACGGCCACAUGGCGACUAAGAGACGGCGCAGUCGCCUACGGGAGGCAGCAGUGGGAAGUAUUACACAAUAGGGGGAAGCCUGAUGCGACAGCGCUGCGUGCGUGAUGACGUCCUACUGGUGAUAAACCGCUUUCGCCUUAGAUGAAGAGUGAGUGACGGUAAUUGGUAAAGAAGCACCGGCUAACUACGUG
Molecule: ribosomal RNA, 468 nt
Filed under: uncultured bacterium
Lineage: Bacteria
Description: partial 16S ribosomal RNA
Rfam family: Bacterial small subunit ribosomal RNA
Source: RNAcentral